RNAcentral lists this ribosomal RNA (348 nucleotides) under uncultured bacterium. RNAcentral describes it as "bacterial SSU rRNA". It matches the Rfam family "Bacterial small subunit ribosomal RNA", at positions 8 to 354 of the family's 1533-position model. The record is from RNAcentral.
AGAGUUUGAUCCUGGCUCAGAUUGAACGCUGGCGGCAUGCUUUACACAUGCAAGUCGAACGGCAGCACAGGGAGCUUGCUCCCGGGUGGCGAGUGGCGCACGGGUGAGUAAUACAUCGGAACGUGUCCUGUUGUGGGGGAUAACUGCUCGAAGGGUGGCUAAUACCGCAUGAGACCUGAGGGUGAAAGCGGGGGAUCGCAAGACCUCGCGCAAUUGGAGCGGCCGAUGCCCGAUUAGCUAGUUGGUGAGGUAAAGGCUCACCAAGGCGACGAUCGGUAGCUGGUCUGAGGAGGACGACCAGCCACACUGGGACUGAGACACGGCCCAGACCGUCCGUACGGGAGGCAA